AGCUAGCAUGGCAUAGUGGUUUGAGCACGGGACUACGACUCUGGAGACUAGGGUUUAAUUCCCAGCUUGGCUA
Non-coding RNA from Phrynosoma platyrhinos (Desert horned lizard), 73 nucleotides. Lineage: Eukaryota; Metazoa; Chordata; Lepidosauria; Squamata; Phrynosomatidae. The record is from the annotation of a GenBank genome assembly.